RNAcentral lists this ribosomal RNA (514 nucleotides) under Caltoris bromus. Its description in RNAcentral is "partial 16S ribosomal RNA". The stretch from base 387 to 514 matches the Rfam family "Bacterial large subunit ribosomal RNA", at positions 2473 to 2600 of the family's 2925-position model. Lineage: Eukaryota; Metazoa; Arthropoda; Insecta; Lepidoptera; Hesperiidae. The record is from RNAcentral.
GUCUUUUUGUUAAUAAUUUAAAGUCAAAUCUGCCCACUGAUUUAUUAUUAAAGGGCUGCAGUAUAUUGACUGUACAAAGGUAGCAUAAUAAUUAGUCUUUUAAUUGAAGACUUGUAUGAAAGAUUUGAUGAGAUAUAGACUGUCUCUUUUUUAUAGUUAGAACUUAAUUUUUUAGUAAAAAAGCUAAAAUUUUUUUAAAAGACGAGAAGACCCUAUAGAGUUUUAUAAUUAAGUUUAAUUAUAUAUUUAUAUUUAAAUUUAAAAUUAAUUAAUUUAAUUAUUUUAUUGGGGUGAUAGAAAAAUUAAAAUAACUUUUUUUAAAUUUAAACAUUAAUUAAUGAUUAUAUGAUCCAUAAUUUAUGAUUAUAAGAAAAAAUUACCUUAGGGAUAACAGCGUAAUUUUUUUUUUUAGUUCUUAUAAGAAAAAAAGUUUGCGACCUCGAUGUUGGAUUAAGAUAAAAUUUAAAUGCAGAAGUUUAAAAUUUUUGAUCUGUUCGAUCAUUAAAAUCUUACA